This 799-nucleotide ribosomal RNA is filed under the name uncultured bacterium. Its description in RNAcentral is "bacterial SSU rRNA". It matches the Rfam family "Bacterial small subunit ribosomal RNA", at positions 64 to 857 of the family's 1533-position model. The record is from RNAcentral.
GAGCGGCAGCGCGGGGGCAACCCUGGCGGCGAGCGGCGAACGGGUGAGUAACACAUCGGAACGUACCCUGUCGUGGGGGAUAGCCCGGCGAAAGCCGGAUUAAUACCGCAUACGACCUGAGGGUGAAAGCGGGGGAUCGCAAGACCUCGCGCGAUAGGAGCGGCCGAUGGCGGAUUAGCUAGUUGGUGAGGUAAAGGCUCACCAAGGCGACGAUCCGUAGCUGGUCUGAGAGGACGACCAGCCACACUGGAACUGAGACACGGUCCAGACUCCUACGGGAGGCAGCAGUGGGGAAUUUUGGACAAUGGGGGCAACCCUGAUCCAGCCAUUCCGCGUGAGUGGAGAAGGCCUUCGGGUUGUAAAGCUCUUUCGGCAGGAACGAAACGGUGGAGGCUAAUACCUUUCAUCAAUGACGGUACCUGAAGAAGAAGCACCGGCUAACUACGUGCCAGCAGCCGCGGUAAUACGUAGGGUGCGAGCGUUAAUCGGAAUUACUGGGCGUAAAGCGUGCGCAGGCGGUUUUAUAAGACAGAUGUGAAAUCCCCGGGCUUAACCUGGGAACUGCGUUUGUGACUGUAGGACUGGAGUGUGGCAGAGGGGGGUGGAAUUCCACGUGUAGCAGUGAAAUGCGUAGAGAUGUGGAGGAACACCGAUGGCGAAGGCAGCCCCCUGGGUUAACACUGACGCUCAUGCACGAAAGCGUGGGGAGCAAACAGGAUUAGAUACCCUGGUAGUCCACGCCCUAAACGAUGCGAACUAGGUGUUGGAGAAGGAGACUUCUUUAGUACCGUAGCUAACG